This 150-nucleotide unclassified non-coding RNA is filed under the name uncultured Eurotiomycetes. RNAcentral describes it as "sequence contains ITS2". Lineage: Eukaryota; Fungi; Ascomycota; Eurotiomycetes. The record is from RNAcentral.
UCAACCAUCAAGCCCGGCUUGCCGUUGGGCCCGCCUGGAAAGACGGGCCCCAAAGACAGUGGCGGGGCGGUCGGACCCUCGGUGCAACGAGCUUGACCCCAAGCACGCGCCGACGGGUUCGGUCUCCCCUGCCCCCUUUUUACUUUUCAA